CCGCAUGUGUCCGCAAGGAUAAAGCCGGCCUCUGUAUAUGCUGGUGCUUGGAGCUGAGCCUGCGUCUGAUUAGCUAGUUGGUGGGGUAAUGGCCUACCGAGGCGAUGAUAAGUAGGCGGCUUUAACGAGUGGUCGCCCACACUGGGAUUGAGAUACGGCCCAGACUCCUACGGGAGGCAGCAGUCGAGGAUAGUCUACAAUGGUCGAAAGAUUGAUAGUGCGACGCCGCGUGAACGAUGAAGCAUUUCGGUGUGUAAAGUUCUUUUCUAUGCGAGCAGGGGCUUGGUGGUUAAUAGCGACCGGGUCUUGAUAUUAGUAUAGGAAUAAGCCACGGCUAACUCCGUGCCAGCAGCCGCGGUAAUACGGGGGUGGCGAGCGUUGUCCGGAAUUACUAGGCGUAAAGGGCAGGUAGGCGGUUAUGUAAGUUAAUUGUUAAAGGCCCAUGCUUACCAUGGGUAAGGCAGUUGAUACUGUGUAACUGGAAUAGAGU
This 490-nucleotide ribosomal RNA is filed under the name uncultured bacterium. RNAcentral describes it as "bacterial SSU rRNA". It matches the Rfam family "Bacterial small subunit ribosomal RNA", at positions 169 to 652 of the family's 1533-position model. The record is from RNAcentral.